Molecule: non-coding RNA, 21 nt
Filed under: Arabidopsis thaliana (thale cress)
Lineage: Eukaryota; Viridiplantae; Streptophyta; Magnoliopsida; Brassicales; Brassicaceae
Source: RNAcentral
UUGCGUGGGGCGUAGUAAUUC